Molecule: ribosomal RNA, 301 nt
Filed under: uncultured bacterium
Lineage: Bacteria
Description: partial 16S ribosomal RNA
Rfam family: Bacterial small subunit ribosomal RNA
Source: RNAcentral
CAGCCGCCGCGGUAAUACGUAGGUGGCAAGCGUUGUCCGGAAUUAUUUGGCGUAAAGGGCUCGCAGGCGGUUUCUUAAGUCUGAUGUGAAAGCCCCCGGCUCAACCGGGGAGGGUCAUUGGAAACUGGGAAACUUGAGCGCAGAAGAGGAGAGUGGAAUUCCACGUGUAGCGGUGAAAUGCGUAGAGAUGUGGAGGAACACCAGUGGCGAAGGCGACUCUCUGGUCUGUAACUGACGCUGAGGAGCGAAAGCGUGGGGAGCGAACAGGAUUAGAUACCCCUGUAGUCCCUGUCUCUUAUAC